AGUGAACGCUGGCGUAGGCCUAACACAUGCAAGUCGAACGGCAGCACAGGAGAGCUUGCUCUCUGGGUGGCGAGUGGCGGACGGGUGAGGAAUACAUCGGAAUCUACCUUUCGUGGGGGAUAACGUAGGGAAACUUACGCUAAUACCGCAUAAGACCUUCGGGUGAAAGCAGGGGACCUUCGGGCCUUGCGCGGAUAGAUGAGCCGAUGUCGGAUUAGCUUGUUGGCGGGGUAAAAGCCCACCAAGGCGACGAUCCGUAGCUGGUCUGAGAGGAUGAUCAGCCACACUGGAACUGAGACACGGUCCAGACUCCUACGGGAGGCAGCAGUGGGGAAUAUUGGACAAUGGGCGCAAGCCUGAUCCAGCCAUACCGCGUGGGUGAAGAAGGCCUUCGGGUUGUAAAGCCCUUUUGUUGGGAAAGAAAACUUGCGGGCUAAUACCCAGCAAGUCUGACGGUACCCAAAGAAUAAGCACCGGCUAACUUCGUG
Molecule: ribosomal RNA, 488 nt
Filed under: uncultured bacterium
Lineage: Bacteria
Description: bacterial SSU rRNA
Rfam family: Bacterial small subunit ribosomal RNA
Source: RNAcentral